This is a long non-coding RNA of Anolis carolinensis (green anole), 1721 nucleotides long. RefSeq lists it as uncharacterized. NCBI's taxonomy places the organism in Eukaryota, Metazoa, Chordata, Lepidosauria, Squamata, Anolidae. The transcript is spliced from 3 exons. The record is from RefSeq and is a predicted model, not a curated record.
UAUUUAUUUAUUUACAGUAUUUAUAUUCCGCCCUUCUCACCCCGAAGGGGACUCAGGGCGGAUUACAAUGAACACAUAUAUGGCAAACAUUCAAUGCCAACAGACAAACAACAUUCAGUUUAGACAGACACAGAGGCAUUUUAACAUCUUUCCAGCUUCACGAUUCCGGCCACAGGGGGAGCUGUUGCUUCACCGUCCACUGGUGGCUGUUCCUCCUCAUUCUUUUCCUCGUGUUUUGCUGGCAGUUUUAUGGUGUUGUAAAUUAGUUAAAUUAGCCUCCCGCAUAAAGCGUACCUAAAUUUUCCCUACUUGACAGAUGCAACUUUCUUUCGGGGCUGCAUAGGUCAACAGCAAGCCGGGGCUAUUUUUUUUAAUGGUCGGAGGCUUAACCCGACCCGGGCUUCGAACUCAUGACCUCUCGGUCAGUAGUGAUUUAUAGCAGCUGGUUACUAGCCAGCUGUGCCACAGCCCGGCUCCUGGUGUUGCCUCCAUUGGUGUUGCCUCCAACAAUGGUGUUGCCUCCAUUGAGCUUGCUUUUGAGAAUUAUUAUUAUUAUUAUUAUUAUUAUUAUUAUUAUUAUAUUAUCAUCCUGAGAGUUGCAGUCCAGUAAGUCCCACUUCCAGGAUCUUACAACCCAAAGUAUUGCCCAAAAUCAGAGUUAGGAAACAUCUGUGACCAGAAUAGGUUGCAGCUCGGGUCCAAGUGAAUUAUAUGGCAGAAUUGGCUAGCUGUCUGGUAUAAUUUAGUAAGAAUUUGCCAUGCUAGAAACCCCAUGUCUCUCGGCUCUUUUUGCUGCUUCCCAUGCAGUCUGAGUACUCUCUAGAGUUUUCUGUCUUUUUGUAGUGGGCUCCGAUGCGUCGUCUCAGUUACACCUUGCUCUUGUGGGCAACACAAAAGGAUUUCAUUUUAGAUCAAGCAUUCGCUUCCAGAGCUCUUAAACCUUCAGUUCACCGCAUUGUAAUUGGUUUCUCAGACAGAACUCCAGCAAUGACAAAGAAGCUGUGACCUUCAUUCUGGCUCUCUUCAAGAAUAUAUUUUGGCUCUAAUUCUUCCAGGAAAACAUCCACCCCCCUCCUACCAAUUUUCUGUUUCAGAUUUUUCCGCAUGGCUUUGAACAAAGAAAACAAAACCGAAAGGUCCUUUGCCUGGAGGAAAUGUAACUUGCUCCAGUCUGCCUUUGCUGGGUUGAAUCCUCCCGCCUCCCCCUGAAUUUCGCUUAAAACUGAUUGAAAACAGAUGGCAAAGUUCACCCGGGCUCCUACUUUGGUUUGAGGAUUGGCCAAGGUUCAAAUCCUGGGAGUGGAGUGAGCGCCCGCUAUUAGCUCCAGCUUCUGCCAACCUAGCAGUUCGAAAAUAUGCCAAUGUGAGUAGAUCAAUAGGUACCGCUUCGGCGGGAAGGUAACGGCGCUCCGUGCAGUCAUGCCGGCCACAUGACCUUGGAGGUGUCUACGGACAAUGCCAGCUCUUCGGCUUAAAAAUGGAGAUGAGCAUCAACACCCAGAGUCGGACAUGACUGGACUUAACAUCAGGGGAAACCUUUACCUUUUAUUUAUUUAUUUCCAACAUUUGUAUCCCGCCCUUCUCACCCAAAAGGACUCAGGGCGGCUUACAACAACAGCAACAAUUAGAUGCCCACACAAAAACAAUAUCAAACAAUACAUAAAAUCAAUUAAAACUAUUAAAUACAAUAUAAAAUUAAAAUAUAUAAAUUUAAAACAUUU